RNAcentral lists this long non-coding RNA (329 nucleotides) under Androctonus crassicauda. Lineage: Eukaryota; Metazoa; Arthropoda; Arachnida; Scorpiones; Buthidae. The record is from RNAcentral.
GUUCAUGGGGCCCCGUUGGCCUUCAGACCUGUUGUCGAGAGGUUUGGAGCUCCAACUUGUACUUUGGAGGGGGCUGUGGCGGACUGGAUUGCCGGGACCUUCCAGAUGUGCUCCUGUGCUGUACCAUUCUCCAGGGCUGUUGUUGAUGGGCUCAGCUCUUUGUCCCUCCAUGGCAGCGGGGUUGUUGCUGUUUAUAAUUUUGAGGGGCUCUGCCCGGCACUUGGGAUUGCCCCCGCCUGCCUCCAGCUUUGCCGGUUUCUCUUGGAAGGCGCACCUCAGGAUAGUUGCGGCCCAGCCUUGUAUAGAGGCAUAGCAGGCGUCCUUUGCAA